Molecule: transfer RNA, 74 nt
Filed under: Rhizoprionodon acutus (milk shark)
Lineage: Eukaryota; Metazoa; Chordata; Chondrichthyes; Carcharhiniformes; Carcharhinidae
Also listed under: 3 other names
Description: tRNA-Lys
Rfam family: tRNA
About the family: Transfer RNA (tRNA) molecules are approximately 80 nucleotides in length. Their secondary structure includes four short double-helical elements and three loops (D, anti-codon, and T loops).
Source: RNAcentral
CAUUAAGAAGCUAAACUGGGACUAGCAUUAGCCUUUUAAGCUAAAUAUUGGUGACUCCCAAUCACCCUUAAUGA